AGUACUCGGUAGACUAAAAUGCGGCCAUUUUGCUGUGGAGCUAGUGGCGUAGCGGUGACGUCAUCUCGGCGGCAACAUCCCGGCGCGGAGCAGCACGUACGGAUAGCAGUAAGAAUGAGGAUUCAUGUUUUAUAAAGUUACCUCAAGAUUCCUGCCAAAUCCAACGAUAGCAAAUUUAGAAGAACUGUACACUGGAUAUACACCGGUAGUACGAAUACCAGCUAUUGACGCCAUAUUUACUAUGGUACCUCCUUUGCCACCUUUAUGUUUGCCCAUAUAAUCUAGCCCCAACAACGAGCCCCGAAUUAGUGCUA
Molecule: long non-coding RNA, 314 nt
Organism: Monomorium pharaonis (pharaoh ant)
Lineage: Eukaryota; Metazoa; Arthropoda; Insecta; Hymenoptera; Formicidae
Exons: 2
Source: RefSeq, a predicted model, not a curated record